GAUAUCUACGUUUUAGUAUAACAAAUAUAUGAUGGAACAAAAUUACGUGUCCACCGAGAUCCGAGUUGUAAUACAGUGAACAGUAUACGUGUUUCACGGAGAACAUAAAGGGGGUUCCAGGUGUUCCAUGUAUUACUUAGAAGCCUCGUUCCCCGUAUUGGUUAAUGAAUGUUGAAUAAACAAUAGCUUUCGGAAGAUCAGUGUAAAUU
Long non-coding RNA from Apis florea (little honeybee), 209 nucleotides. The record is from RefSeq and is a predicted model, not a curated record. NCBI's taxonomy places the organism in Eukaryota, Metazoa, Arthropoda, Insecta, Hymenoptera, Apidae.